This 358-nucleotide unclassified non-coding RNA is filed under the name soil metagenome. RNAcentral's name for it is "partial contains 5.8S ribosomal RNA, internal transcribed spacer 2, and large subunit ribosomal RNA". The stretch from base 1 to 120 matches the Rfam family "5.8S ribosomal RNA", at positions 35 to 154 of the family's 154-position model. The record is from RNAcentral.
GAUGAAGAACGUAGCGAAAUGCGAUAAGUAAUGUGAAUUGCAGAAUUCAGUGAAUCAUCGAAUCUUUGAACGCACAUUGCGCCCGUCAGUAUUCUGGCGGGCAUGCCUGUUCGAGCGUCAUUACGCCCCUCAAGUCCCCUGUGGACUUGGUGUUGGGGAUCGGCGAGGCCGGUUUUCCAGCACAGCCGUCCCUUAAAUUAAUUGGCGGUCUCGCCGUGGCCCUCCUCUGCGCAGUAGUAAAACACUCGCAACAGGAGCCCGGCGCGGUCCACUGCCGUAAAACCCCCCAACUUUUUAUAGUUGACCUCGAAUCAGGUAGGACUACCCGCUGAACUUAAGCAUAUCAAUAAGCGGAGGA